Molecule: ribosomal RNA, 468 nt
Filed under: uncultured bacterium
Lineage: Bacteria
Description: partial 16S ribosomal RNA
Rfam family: Bacterial small subunit ribosomal RNA
Source: RNAcentral
GACGAACGCUGGCGGCGUGCUUAACACAUGCAAGUCGAACGGAAAGGCCCUGCUUUUGUGGGGUGCUCGAGUGGCGAACGGGUGAGUAACACGUGAGUAACCUGCCCUUGACUUUGGGAUAACUUCAGGAAACUGGGGCUAAUACCGGAUAGGAGCUCCUGCUGCAUGGUGGGGGUUGGAAAGUUUCGGCGGUUGGGGAUGGACUCGCGGCUUAUCAGCUUGUUGGUGGGGUAGUGGCUUACCAAGGCUUUGACGGGUAGCCGGCCUGGGAGGGUGACCGGCCAAAUUGGGACUGAGAUACGGCACAGACUCCUACGGGAGGCAGCAGUGGGGAAUAUUGCACAAUGGGCGGAAGCCUGAUGCAGCAACGCCGCGUGCGGGAUGACGGCCUUCGGGUUGUAAACCGCUUUCGCCUGUGACGAAGCGUGAGUGACGGUAAUGGGUAAAGAAGCACCGGCUAACUACGUG